Aegilops tauschii subsp. strangulata is the source of this 3643-nucleotide long non-coding RNA. RefSeq lists it as uncharacterized. NCBI's taxonomy places the organism in Eukaryota, Viridiplantae, Streptophyta, Magnoliopsida, Poales, Poaceae. The record is from RefSeq and is a predicted model, not a curated record.
CCUCACCCACCCACCCCUCACGGCGCCGCACCGCACCUCCUCCCACCGUCCCACUCACCACCUCCCCGCCCGCCGCCGCCGCCGCCGCCCCAGCCCACUCCCCUUCCCCGCCGCAUACGGGGCGCUGCACCUUAGCCCCUCCCACCGUCCCUCCCAUGGCCGCGCUCCUAUGGCCUUCGUCCCCGACCCUGCUCCCGCCCCUGCUGCUCCUAUGCCUGGGUAGCGCCAGCCGGCCGCCUCCGCCCUAUGCCCUCGUCGCCGUGGCCUGCGCAAAUCGUCUCCGCCGGCAGGCCCUCCUCCGCGCCCCCCGUGCAGACCGACGCCGCCUCCUCCUCCUACAGAUGGCCGCCGCGUUGUCCAACCAUUAGACGCCGGCAAGCUUCUAUUUUGGGGUCAAGAUGAUCAGCGCCACUAGCUUUUCUACCUGUGUGCCUGAAUACGAUGUUCCUGCUGUUGACGAAGCAGUGGAUACAUCAUGGAAGAGGGAACUGCCUUGGAAGGCACCUUUCCCAUCCACAGCGCUGCUUCAGUCAACUAAAGAUGUUGCCACAAAGAGAGUGUCACACAUACUGCAAAAGUUAAUAUGGUUGGUUCUGACAAGCAUCUUGUGAAGCACUUGCAAGUGUAAAUUGCUAGGCUAGAAGCAGAGAACUAAGGACCGCCUGCCAUGCCUCCUCUUCCGAGAUCCGCAUAAUUGAGAAGGACAGGAAAAUUAGACAGCCCUAGGUGGGAACUACGUGCAGUUUGGUGUGUUUGAGCUUUAUGGUGACAGAGCACUUGUGGAUGCGCUUGAUAUAUCUUUAAAGACGACCCUGUCAAUUCCAUUGUCUGGUAUAGACAUUUAAAAAGGUAUUCAGUUAUUCAUGUCAUCUUUUGAAUUUUGUUUACAAUUGUUUUGCUGUUGUAUGUAUUCUUGUUAGCUUGUUUGCUUCUGAAAACAUAUUUGUUAAGUUUUAAAGCACUGGAGGAGCAAAUGGUUCUGUCUUGUCACAUAGAACGCGGGUAUGAACAAUGGGCAUGUAUCCUUAGCAUAGCAACAUCUGUAGUCUGAUUGUGAAUACAUUAGAAUGCACACUGGAAGCUGUGAAUACCUUUUGCGGGUGUCAUCGACACUUUGAACAACGUUUGCUUGAUAAUUAACCUUUUUUUACUCCUAAUAAAAUGGUCCCUGGAGCUUUCCUGGACGUCAUGUAGGUUCAGUGGGCAGCCACGGAUCCGACCAAAUCUUGAUGUUCUCCCCUGAACCCACCCUCUAAAUGUAUCCUUCCUUAACUAUCUCCAGCCCCCUUAGAAUGCUUGUCCAAGUGUAACUCAUGUUGGCCACAUGUUGUUUUUUUUUCGAAAAGGGGGAUUCCCCGGCCUCUGCAUCAGAACGAUGCAUACGACCACAUUUAUAAAUAAAAUAGGUUCAACAAGGUCUUAAAGUCUGGAAACAAAAUAAAGGCUAGCUCACAGAGAGCCUCAACGCCAAAGAUAAAAAGGCCAUAGAGCCACAACCGGCUGGCAAAACAAAGAUAGGAAAACUAAUCACCUAUCCUAUUACAUGACCGCCAUCCAAACCGGUUGAAGAUAUCCCGCGCUACCAUCUCCCACCCAACGAUUACGAGUCGAACGACUAGUCUAGACUAGUCGCUCGACUAGUCUAUGAGUCGCAAACUGGCUGUCGACUCGGUUUCUCGUGUAGACUACUUGUACGAGUCGAGCCUGUCAUCGACUAGUCGACGACUAGUCCAGACUAGUCGACAUGUUCGAGUCCAACGACUCAAAAAACUGGGGGAGUAUAAAAAUACGAUGCCUCAUCCCGCGGGAGACCUAAUCCUUUCUUUCCCCUCCUCACCUGGACGCGCCGCCGGCUGCUGGACGCGCCCGUCGAGCCCUCCUCGCGCCGCCGGCCGCUGGACGCCCGCCGCCGCGGAUCUGAAGCUCCACCGUCGCCGGCCCCACGUCGCGGAUCUGAAGCUCCACCAUCGCCUUCGUCUCGCGCCCCUCCUGCUCCUUCGUCUCGCGCCCCUCCUCGCGCCGCCGGCCCCUCGUGCUCUUCUCCUCUUCAGGCAGGUGAGCCUCAGUGCUGCUCUGCCUCGCUGCUGGACUGCUGGUGCUGCUCUGCCUUGCCCCUCCUUUCUCCUCCUCUUUCUUCUUGGCUUGCCGCUGCUGUUGCUCUGCUCCGCUGCUGGACUGCUGGUGCUGCUCUGCUUGCUGUUGGUGCUGCUCUGCUCGCAGAUAGACUGCUGGUGCUGCUGUGCUUGCUGCUAGUUGCUGGUGCUGCUCUGCCUCAGUGACUCCACUUUGCUUGUUUAAAUUGUAUACUGUACUUGUAUACUUAUAUAGUGUAAUACUACAUACUACUACUAGGUAUUAUUAGUUAUGUACUGUAAGUUCGGUGCUACAGUACCAUGUCGACUAGUCUCGCACUAGUCUAGACUAGUCUAUGAGUCUCAACCUUGGAACGACUCGUCGACUCUCCGACUCGUAAACGUUGCUCCCACCGGACAGAUCCAGUAGCCAAACGCUCCCUGGCCUCCGUCGCAGUGAGUAAGGACCACAUACGGAUCAACGUCGUAGCUCAGAAUAAAACCUGCAAAAAAUGAAUAGUUGUUGUUCUGUUAAAAGCCAAAUCAUUUCUGCAGUUCCAAAUUGCCCAUAACAACGCACAUACUCCUACACGAAUGUGUCUAGCUGUAUCGGACUCUAUCCCAUCAAGCCACGUUCCAAAUAACGUACCGACCGAAUUUGGAGGAGUAAUGUUAAAGGCAAUUUGCACGGUGCGCCACAAAACUAUCGCCAACGGGCACUCAAAGAAGAGGUGCUUAAUGGUCUCGUCCCGAUCACAGAAACUACACCUAGUAGAUCCUGUUCGAUUGCGCUUAACCAAGUUGUCCUUUGUUAAAAUGACUUGUUUAUGUAUAAACCACAUAAACACUUUAAUCUUCAAAGGAACUUUUACUUUCCAAACAUGUUUGGAACUAGGAAUGACACUAGAGUUAAUGACAUCGAUAUACAUCGACUUAACCGUAAAUUCUCCAGACCUAGUAAGUUUCCAACACAACUGGUCGGGCUGAUGAGCUAGCUGAACCUCCAUCAGUCUACUCACCAAAUGAAGCCAUGCUUCCCAUCUAUCACCAACAAGCACCCUCCGAAACUGGAUAUUAAGGGGAAUGGACUGCAUAAUCGUUGCAACUAGCGCAUCACGUCGUUGAACAAUACGAUACAGGGACGGGUACUGGAGCGCCAAUGGCGUGUCACCAAGCCAAGUAUCCUCCUAGAAACGGGUAUUGUUGCCAUCACCGACAAUAAACUUUGUUCUAUUAAAGAAGGCUGCCUUAACUCUCAUAAGCCCCUUCCAAAACGGCGAAUCAGUUGGUCUCACUGUCACCUGUGACAAAGUUUUGGACUGCAGAUACUUGUUACGGAGAAUCUGCGCCCAUGUUGCAUCAGUCUCAACUGAUAACCUAUACAGCCACUUACUAAGAAGGCAUCUGUUCUUGACCUCAAGAUUCUCAAUACCCAGACCCCCUUGGUCCUUUGGUCUACAGAUGAUAUCCCAUUUGGCGAGUCGGUACUUUCUCUUUAGUUCAUCACUCUGCCAAAAAAAUCUUGAUCGGUAGAAGUCCAGCCUUUUCCUAACCCCAACUGGAACUUCAAA